AUCACCUGGGGAUCUUGUUAAAACAGAUUUUGAUUCAAUCACUCUGAGGUGGGACCCAAGAUUCUGUAUUUCUAACAAGCUCCCAGGUGAUAUGGA
Molecule: microRNA precursor, 96 nt
Filed under: Equus caballus (horse)
Lineage: Eukaryota; Metazoa; Chordata; Mammalia; Perissodactyla; Equidae
Description: mir-544 microRNA precursor family
Rfam family: mir-544 microRNA precursor family
Source: Rfam by way of RNAcentral